AUGGUGUUUGAGAGUAGUCCUAGCUAUGCGGAUGUCUUGGAACAAGUGAGGAAGAAUUUGAAUUGGAUGGACCCAAGUGAUGUUGUUGAGCUGGAGGGAAGGCAUAAUGUUGGUUUUGGAAUGCACAACCGUUGUAAGACAAUACGUGUGAACUCCGAGCAACGUUGGGUUGCAUACAAGGAGACGGUUGCCGAAUCUCUAGACAAGGCUCUUGAGUUAUUUGCCUCCAAGAAGGUUGACUCUAGUUUGCAUUUGGACUUGAACCGGAACCCCUCCCCGUUGGUUGCUAGUACUCCCCACCCACAAACCAAGAUUAAAUGA
RNAcentral lists this ribosomal RNA (321 nucleotides) under Triticum aestivum (bread wheat). RNAcentral describes it as "partial small subunit ribosomal RNA". Lineage: Eukaryota; Viridiplantae; Streptophyta; Magnoliopsida; Poales; Poaceae. The record is from RNAcentral.